This 1261-nucleotide long non-coding RNA is filed under the name Citrus x clementina. Its description in RNAcentral is "Citrus clementina (C. clementina) long non-coding RNA (CCLE_LNC002016)". The record is from RNAcentral. Lineage: Eukaryota; Viridiplantae; Streptophyta; Magnoliopsida; Sapindales; Rutaceae.
UGGGAGUUUAAUUUUCACGAUGGGUAGAAAACAUCCUUUAGCUAAUUUCUUGAUUCUCCUCUUGAACUUGGGUACGUUGCUAUCUUCUUUAGCAUGUCCAUAUUGCCCUUAUCCUACUCCUCCCCCUCCGUGUCCCCCAACAUUUCCACCAAAACACCCUCCACAUGUAAAGCCACCUUUCCACCCCAAACCACCGCAUCACAAGCCACCCCAUGUCAAACCACCGCACAAGCCCCCGUAUGUUCCUAAACCACCUUAUUCCCCAAGCCCUAAACCGCCUUACGUGCCAAAACCACCUCAUACUCCAGUCCCUAGGCCACCAUAUUUCCCCAAACCACCUUACACACCAAGGCCUAAGCCACCAUAUGCGCCAAAACCACCUUAUACGCCAACCCCUAAGCCACCAUAUUUCCCCAAACCACCUUACACACCAAGGCCGAAGCCACCAUAUGUGCCAAAACCACCUUAUACGCCAGCCCCUAAGCCACCAUAUUUUCCCAAACCACCUUACACACCAAGGCCUAAGCCACCAUAUGCACCAAAACCACCUUAUACGCCAACACCUAAGCCACCAUAUUUCCCCAAACCACCUUACACACCAAGGCCUAAGCCACCGUACGUGCCAAAACCACCGUACACACCAAGGCCUAAGCCACCGUACGUGCCAAAACCACCAUACACACCAACCCCUAAGCCACCGUACGUGCCAAAACCACCUUACACCCCAACCCCUAAGCCACCGUACGUGCCAAAACCACCGUAUACCCCAACUCCUAAGCCACCGUACGUCCCAUCGCCACCUUAUACCCCUCGCCCUAAACCACCGUAUGUACCAUCACCACCUUAUACCCCUAGCCCUAAACCACCGUAUGUGCCAUCACCACCAUAUACCCCAAGCCCUACCCCACCAUAUGUACCAUCACCACCGUAUACCCCAAGCCCACCAUAUGUACCAUCACCACCGUAUACCCCAAGCCCUAGCCCACCACCACCACCAAGUGGAACACCGUGUCCUCCGCCGCCGCCACCAAAGGUGAGACCGUACCCUCCACCACCAUCACAAACUUGUCCCAUUGAUACUCUCAAGCUUGGUGCAUGCGUCGACGUGUUGGGCGGUCUAAUACACAUCGGUAUAGGCAGCAGUGCAAAGGACGCUUGCUGCCCCGUGCUGCAGGGGCUACUGGACUUGGAUGCUGCAUUAUGUCUUUGCACCACCAUUAAACUUAAGCUUUUGAAUAUCAAUCUUAUUAUACCGAUCGCC